RNAcentral lists this ribosomal RNA (447 nucleotides) under uncultured bacterium. Its description in RNAcentral is "partial 16S ribosomal RNA". It matches the Rfam family "Bacterial small subunit ribosomal RNA", at positions 29 to 523 of the family's 1533-position model. The record is from RNAcentral.
AGCGAACGCUGGCGGCAGGCUUAACACAUGCAAGUCGAACGGUCCUUCGGGAUAGUGGCGGACGGGUGAGUAACACGUGGGAACGUACCCUUAGGUUCGGAACAACACAGGGAAACUUGUGCUAAUACCGGAUAAGCCCUUCGGGGGAAAGAUUUAUCGCCUUUGGAGCGGCCCGCGUCUGAUUAGCUUGUUGGUGAGGUAAUGGCUCACCAAGGCUACGAUCAGUAGCUGGUCUGAGAGGAUGGCCAGCCACACUGGGACUGAGACACGGCCCAGACUCCUGCGAGAGGCAGCAGUGGGGAAUCUUGCGCAAUGGGCGAAAGCCUGACGCAGCCAUGCCGCGUGGAUGAUGAAGGUCUUAGGAUUGUAAAAUCCUUUCACCGGGGACGAUAAUGACGGUACCCGGAGAAGAAGCCCCGGCUAACUUCGUGCCAGCCGCCGCGGUAA